AAUAUCUUUAAAUAGAGUGUGUUUAGAGACCACAUGGGAGCCAUCUCUGAGGUCAGCACAUGUCAGAGGUGCAGACUUCAUGCUCUUUCACUAGACCACCAGGGAUCCAGGAUCCAUGCAAGACUGCCAGAGUACGACCCCCACUGGACCUACAGGGGAAAUGCACCAGAAAAGCAGAGCAGAAGGAAGGAGUGGCAAAACAGAGUACUAC
Non-coding RNA from Pelobates cultripes (western spadefoot toad), 211 nucleotides. The record is from the annotation of a GenBank genome assembly. NCBI's taxonomy places the organism in Eukaryota, Metazoa, Chordata, Amphibia, Anura, Pelobatidae.